CCUACGGGAGGCAGCAGUGGGGAAUUUUGGACAAUGGGCGCAAGCCUGAUCCAGCCAUGCCGCGUGUGGGAAGAAGGCCUUCGGGUUGUAAACCACUUUUGUCAGGGAAGAAACGGCCUUUACUAAUAUUAGGGGCUAAUGACGGUACCUGAAGAAUAAGCACCGGCUAACUACGUGCCAGCAGCCGCGGUAAUACGUAGGGUGCAAGCGUUAAUCGGAAUUACUGGGCGUAAAGCGUGCGCAGGCGGCUUUGCAAGACAGAUGUGAAAUCCCCGGGCUCAACCUGGGAACUGCAUUUGUGACUGCAUGGCUAGAGUACGGUAGAGGGGGAUGGAAUUCCGCGUGUAGCAGUGAAAUGCGUAGAUAUGCGGAGGAACACCGAUGGCGAAGGCAAUCCCCUGGACCUGUACUGACGCUCAUGCACGAAAGCGUGGGGAGCAAACAGGAUUAGAUACCCUGGUAGUCCACGCCCUAAACGAUGUCAACUGGUUGUUGGACGGCUUGCUGUUCAGUAACGAAGCUAACGCGUGAAGUUGACCGCCUGGGGAGUACGGCCGCAAGGUUGAAACUCAAAUGAAUUGACGG
RNAcentral lists this ribosomal RNA (585 nucleotides) under uncultured bacterium. RNAcentral's name for it is "bacterial SSU rRNA". It matches the Rfam family "Bacterial small subunit ribosomal RNA", at positions 338 to 916 of the family's 1533-position model. The record is from RNAcentral.